This 205-nucleotide unclassified non-coding RNA is filed under the name Hevea brasiliensis (rubber tree). The record is from RNAcentral. Lineage: Eukaryota; Viridiplantae; Streptophyta; Magnoliopsida; Malpighiales; Euphorbiaceae.
GCUACCUGCAAAGCCUUCUCCGUCUCUCUAUCAUCAAGUGGGUUCUCGCAAUUACCCUCUCUAUCUUUUUUUUUUUUGAGAAAAUUGAAACAAUAGCUUUGAUGGGUAUUGUUUACUUAAGGGAAGUACAUGGAACAGAAAUUCAUUGAGAAAAUUGAAACAAUGUAGGAGUUUUGAUGGGUAUUCAAACAAGUGGGUAUUGUUU